RNAcentral lists this long non-coding RNA (4900 nucleotides) under Triticum aestivum (bread wheat). RNAcentral's name for it is "long non-coding RNA (TAES_LNC014929)". Lineage: Eukaryota; Viridiplantae; Streptophyta; Magnoliopsida; Poales; Poaceae. The record is from RNAcentral.
GUUAAUCCUGGCGGGUCCAUGUGCUAACCGGUUUUUUAUUUUAUUUUGAAUUUCCUUUUAUCUCCUCCGCUGACUUUGUCCGUUUCCCUUCCCUAUUUCGAGCAGCGAGAUCUUGGAGGCAGAGAGGGGAGAGCCAUGGCGAUUUUGGCUGGUUAGCUUUGUCGUUGAUCUCUGGAGAGCGAGCCGGUGGUUAGGCGUCCGGUCCUCCUCCCCCCUCCCCCUGUUGCUUCUCCUUCAAGCGCGUUGAGGCAGAGGAGAAGUUGACGCAUGGUGAUUCAGCGGCGGCGUCUUAUCUGCUUCCCUUGAUUUGGUGAUGCUCCUCCUUUUGUUGUGGUGUUCUCCGAGCCUUGUGCGUCCCUUCUUCCCACAACGAGGUUUGCUUGCCAGUAUCCUUUCCCCAUGUCUUCAUUUCGCUGCAAUUUCUGUAGGAUUUUGCUAGAUCUGGCUUAAAGGUGUGCUUGUUCCCGUGUGUAGUGGUGGAUCCUAGCUCUUUUAGGUUGUUUGUGGUGGUUCCUAGAUGUCAGAUUUUUGUUGCAGAUGGAGCAACAUCUAGUAGAUGUAGAUGCAGCAACGCCUGAUUCGAUGUAGUUGUAGGGGUGGUUCCCUUAUGACUAUUUCUUAUUUAUGCUCCUGAAUGUUUCUGUAGUUGUUCAUGUGCCCCUAUAUGUGUAUAACCCCUAGAUGUGUGGAUGUAAAUGUUGAAUCUAGCUCGUAGAUGUUUGCAUUGUAUGUGUGUAUGAUGCCAGUUGUUUUUGUCAGUGAGUUGGGCUGUAACUUUGAGCGAAUUCGGAGUGAUUGGGACUGAAUUUUACCAGUUAAGCGUCAGUGAUUUUGGACUGUAGUUUCAGGUUUUACCAGUCCAUCUUACUCAGUAAUUUUCGAGUGCUUUUGUGUCUGUCUUUGCAACUUCAGUGAUGUGUAAGUUUUAGUGAUCUACUCUGUAAUAUUUGAGUGCUUUUGUCUUUGACUUUGUAACUUCAGUAAUGUGUAAGUUUGAGUGAUCUACUCUAAAUUUUCCACUCGUUUCCAGCACCUAUUACACUCAGUAUCAGUGUAACUACAGUCUGAAUUGUAUUGUGAAUUAACUCUGGACUGCAAGUUCGUAUGUCCCUUUUUAUCCUUUGCUAGCUUUUGUAGAUGUACAUCCCUUCGUUGUUUUGGAUGCAAAUGCUGAGUCACCUGGUCACUUGUCUCAUGUUGAUGUUUUUUGGUGGACAAAUUUCUAGUUUAAUGUGUGAUUCUCGUUGGUGGACUGAAUUUUUUCCAGUUAAGUUAAAGUGGUUAGGGAUUGUAAAUUUGAGUAAUGUGUCCCUUCUAGUGUCAGAUUUAUUCCCCUUUCAUAUGUUGUGUGUGGUGAUUUCCCUCAGCUGUGUUGAAUCUCGUAUGUCGUGUGACCUAGAUUGUCUGGUUGAAUUCGGCUAGUUGUCAUGCGCUUGGACGUGUUGUUUGUUUCAGUUCAUAUCCCUGUCCAUGUCCAUGACCCUAUCCAUGUCUCUGUCGGAUGGGAUGUUGUUUGUUUCAGUUCAGAACCAUUUGCUUUGCUUGUGCGACUUGUUUCCUCGCUAAGCAUCAUCUACCUAGCAAGCAAACUAGUCUACUGUUUCCCCCCUAUUCCUUCUCCAAUCUAAUAUAAUCUGAUGCACAUUGGGAUUGGGAUUGGGUGGUGAUUUCCUUCAGUCUAUCACCUACCUUCUGCUCUACUCUUUCUGUAUUGUUUCUAGCAUAUAUAUAUAUAUAUAUAUAUAUAUAUAUAUAUAUAUAUAUAUAUAUAUAUAUAUAUAUAUAUAUAUGGUGAUGAAUUAGAAGUAUUCGGUAUGUAUUGUCGGCUUUGGUUUGAUCCUCAAGUCUAAUUUGCUACCGUGUAGGGAUUUAUCAGUCGGAUCUGUUGCUUAUCCCCUUUUGGAUGUCGCAUGUGGUAAUCCCGCGCGGCUAUUUUGAUGCAGAUGUGUUGUUGCAUUUGUUAGUGGUAUUGAAUCUCAUCUGUCUUGUGUGCUAGGUUAGGGAUUGUCUUGUAGGUUUUAUUUGACCUGUUUCGGUCAGUAGUUGGAAUUCGAAUGUUUGUCAUGGGCAGUUGCUAAUUUCGUACAUGCUGGAUCGUGUUUCAGUGACUUUAGUGCCCUGGUCGCCUUGGAUUCUCUAGUGUUUUUGUUUGUGGCUGUAGGUUAUAUAACCCCUGGGUCGUUUGUCGAUGUAGGUUUAUAUGUAGUGUUCUUUGUGAUUUUGCUUGUAUAGCUAGUCAACCAGCUUAGGUUGUCGUACCUAGUGCGUUCUGCUAGCAAAUUUCAGCUCUGUUCUUUGUGUUUCUGUGAAACAGAAUGUCCUUUUCAUUUUCAGCUAUGUAAAUGUUUGAUUGCUCUACUUGAAAUCCCUGUUUUCUUAGUGGAUUUGUAGUGUGUUUUCUGAGUGUUUUACACUGUAAUUCUUAGUGGAUUUACAGUGUAAUUCCUUAGCGGAUUUACACUGUAAUUUUAGGUGGAUUUACACUGUAUUUUUUUACUGGAUUUACACUGUAAUUUUCAGUGAAUUUACACUGUAUUUUUAGUGGAUUUAUAUUGUAAUUUGCAAUGGAUCUACACUGUAAUUCUCAGUGGAUUUACUCUGUAGUUUUCAGUUGAUCUUUCGUUGUAAUCAUAUAAGAAUUACACUGUAUCUCUUGAUUUUACAGUGUAAUUCUUAGUUGAGUUACACUGUAAUCCUUAGUGUAUCUUAGUGUUUUUGUAGUGACUAUUAGUUAUUCUUGGAUUUACCUUGUAUUACACUGUAACUCUUGAUUUUACGGUGUAAUUUUCAGUGUAUUUACACUGUAAUUCUUAGUGUAUUUUGGCUAGGGUCUGUUAGCUGGUUUUUACCCUUGUAAUCUGCAUUUGACUAGGGACUAUUAUGUGGAUUAUUUUUGUAUUAUCUUUAGUGGAUCUUAUAGUGUAAUUCUUAUUGGAUUUACAGUGUAACUCUCAGUGGGCUUACACUGUAAUUUUUCAGUUGAUUCUACCCUUAGUGAAUUUGACUAAGACUGUUAGUUGGUUUUUACCCUUGUACUCUGCAAUUGAGUAGGGUCUAUUAUGUGAAUUUUUAGGUCUGAACAUUUUCAGGUAGCCAAUCUCUAUCUUGUUUGUAAUUUACUUUCAUGCAUUUGGUUGUUUCUUUAUUUUAUUUUUUUUACCGUGAUGUCAUUUUGGUUUUGCUGUGUAGGUUGCAAGUCUCUUGCUCUUGACUCUACAAAGAAAGCAUCAAAUGAUUCGUCAGUUGGUAAAUCUGCUGGUAAUAUUUUGUCAAACGAGGGUACAAAGGAUGGUCCAAAUUUGGUUUCUUGUGUGUUCCAUGUAGUAUCAGUGCUUAAUUUUUUUCUUUAGUUUCAGUGCGAUCUUCAUAGUAAUUACAUUUAAAAGAUCAUAGUAAUUCUAAGUUCAAGCGACAGUAAUUUGCCCUUUUAUAAAGUUCCAAAGUUUCAAAUAUUCAAUCAUAGUUUCAUUUUGGUUUCUGAGCAGGAACAUAUUGGUUUCUCUAUAUAAUACACUGUAUUUAACACUGUAGUUCCAGUGGUCCAGCACUGGAACUACAGUUUGCUUACACUGUAAUUCCAGUGGUCUAGCGAUGUAUUUCAAACUGUAAUUACAAAGGAUUUUUCACCGUGGUCCACUACUGUAAUUUCUAUUGCUAUCCACUGAAAUUUUAGUGGUCUAGUACUGUAAUUACAGUUUGUCUGCCACUGUAAAUUCCUUAUCUGCCAGUGUAAUUUAGUUUCACAUGUUAUUUUUCUGUUCCUCUGUAACCAUAGUGUAAAAACACUUGUUAGAUUUUGAUUUUGUGUAGGAUUUACUCAUUUGUAUAUGUUCUUAUUGCUUUUUCUGGUGAUCUCUGGAUUUUGAGUUUAUAACUAGAGUGCUAUGUGGAUUCUGAUCUGCUCUUUCGCUUUGGUAGCAACCUGUUGCUACUCAAAGUAGAACAAUAUUUUUUGCAUUAGCUAAUGAAAGUUUUUGGAGAAUUUCUUUCCCUGCUGUUUUAUAUGUAAAUUUGACAAUGAUAGUACCUUGAACAACUGCUUAUUUUUGCUUAUUUUUUGUGUUCUUUGUAACUUUUCAGGCAUGAUUGUGGUUUUCUCCAAUGUAGACAUUCGAAAUCUUAGGAUCAAAUAUGUGAAUGACAUGUUUUUCAGCCCCUUGAACAGCUGCGACAAAUCUUUUGUCACUGCUUUCUUUGUAUGUUCUUAUUUUCCUUGUCCUCUAUUUCAUUUUCUUUUUCUCCUUAUUAGCUUUUACUUUCUUUACCUAUUUUGGUCUCUUUGAGUUUUUUUGUGUAGGGAGGCAAUGCCAAGUGAGGUUCAGCAUGUGCACAGUCCUAGCUCAGUUGGUGGAUGAGUUCUCUUUUUGAGUAGCAUGUAACAUAGAACCACUAGUGCAAAUCAUUUGGAUCAUUGGUGGAUUUACAAGGUCUUUUUAGUGGAUUUAAAGUGGCAUCUUUAAUGCAUCUUGCACUGUAAUUCUUAGUGGUUAAUCUUAGCAGUUUUUUCAGUGCAAACCAUUUGGAUUGUUGGUAGAUUUACAGUGUCAUUUUAGUGGAUUUUACAGUGUCAUUUUAAUGCAUCUUACACUGUAAUUCUUAGCGGGCAUGAUAAAAAUUAUUGUCGAUUUUAGUGGAUUUUACACCAAAUUUCUUGGUGGUAAUAUUAUUGUAAUUAUACUUCUUUGUCAAUGUAAAUUUUAGGUGACAUCAUCUUGGUCCUUUCCUCAUCCCUUUGUUUCUUUAGCUUAGCGUACAUGGAAAAACUUUGGCUGUAUCGAUGUAUCGUUGUGGUUUUUUGAUCUCCACUUUUUAGCUGCUCUUCUGUCCCGGUUGAAGAGGUUGGGGUGUAGACCCGUUAGUCUGUUUAAAAGCGGGACAGAAAAGCAAACAAAGACACGGG